This 619-nucleotide long non-coding RNA is filed under the name Capsella rubella. RNAcentral describes it as "long non-coding RNA (CRUB_LNC004575)". The record is from RNAcentral. Lineage: Eukaryota; Viridiplantae; Streptophyta; Magnoliopsida; Brassicales; Brassicaceae.
AGGGACCAUUACAAUUCACUUUGUUAUGAAAUUGAGUAACAAGGGUAUUGUUAUUAGAACAUAGAAGCACAUACAUAUCUAAAACUGAAUAACAAAGUAUCCGUUAAAACUCUACCAUCCACUGUACUUGGAACAAAGCGGCACUGGUUCUUUUAUAGUAUAAAUGAUAAAUUGAUAAUGGAAGAUUCAAAAACUAAGAGAAAGAAAAGAUUUAAGUAAACCUGAGCUUCUUCGUGAUCCUGACUCCUAACUCCUAAGACCGUAACGUUGCCUCGAUGAUGAGCCGUAACCAUCUCUCAAACCAUCCAUCUAUCUACACGAGUAUAACAUACCAAGAUCUUGAUGACAUGAUACGUUCUGCGGAAUGCAAAGCUGAAUCUUUGUCAUUAUGAUGACGUUCUUGGCUUCGUCUUUUCUAUUCCAAAUUAGAAUCCGAAAAAAAGUAAUCACCUUCAUAGCCAAGCUGCAAUUUUUACAUCUCCCUCCAUCACUCCAAGGAAUGUUUUGAUUUGACCUCUCCCGGAGUCUCACCGAUUACGUAUUUUCCAGUUAUAUGACGUGUCAACGACUAAUUGGUGGUAAUGGACCUUUUCGUCUGCGUCGGUCGGGAGGGAGCGAC